GAUCAGCCAUAUCCUGUAGUCUAGGAUGUGCUUUCAGCACGUUGGUACACUGAUAAGCAGGUGCUUUCAUUCCUUCUGCCUCUUGCAACAUGGCGCGCCUAGCACCCAUCAUUGUUUCUCUUUUUGCCAUCGCCGUGGUGUUCUCACAAGAAUCAUCAAAAUUUACAGCAUCAAUGACAGAAUCAACAAAAUCUACAUCAACGACAGAAUCCCCAAAAUCCACAGCAUCAACGACAGAAUCAACAAAAUCCACAGCAUCAACAAUGGAAUCAACAAAAUCCACAGCAUCAAUGACAGAAUCCCCAAAAUCCACAGCAUCAACGACAGAAUCAACAAAAUCCACAGCAUCAACAAUGGAAUCAACAAAAUCCACAGCAUCAAUGACAGAAUCCCCAAAAUCCACAGCAUCAACGACAGAAUCAACAAAAUCCACAGCAUCAACAAUGGAAUCAACAAAAUCCACAGCAUCAAUGACAAAAUCCCCCAAAUCCACAGCAUCAACAAGAGAAUCUGUCAUAUCUUUAACGACCAUGGUAUCAUCAACACCACAGGAAAUUAUUGAGAUAUCUCACACCUCUGGUGUGACUGAGAAGCCCAUCACCAGCGCAAACCACACAGACAACACCACUGCCACCGGUUCAACACUUCCUACAGCCACACAGACCUCCAGUGCCACCCACAGCACCUCAGUGCUGGUUACUAACAGCAGUAGCCUGCCCACCGCCCCCAAAACUCCAGGAGCCAACAUCACACCCUCCAGCACAGUUCAGAAUUUGAAUGGAAGCGAAUCUCUGGCCAAUAACCCAGGCCUGGUGGCUGUGCUGUGUAUUUUUGUCAUCAUACUGAUCCUGCUGCUGGGUGUCGGUGUUGCUAAGGCUAUAAGAUCCAGAGGGCCGAAGUUUGAAAGGUUGGACAAUUUGCCAAUGGGCAAGAUGAAUGAAGAAUCCCCUUUUGCACAUUACCCUCCAAAAUAAGAAAGUUUUCUCAGUCUGCCCAUUAAAAUCUAAUCAAGCACCCAGACUACUGGCAGACCCCAGUGAAGAGACCAGCAAAUAAAUCCUGGUUCCUGACAACUGCUUAACAAGGACAUACCAUGAAACAAACCAGAGGGUCACCACAGCCACCACCACCGUUACAACUACAGCUAUAGGGAUCUUCAAAUGGACCAGUAACAUCAUUAUGGACACGUAAUCUAGACCAUGACACUGACUACAUCCUGGACUUCUCCAACCCUACAACUGUAGGACUUAUUAUUAUAUCAUCCCCAACCCUGCACUGACACCAUUUGCAGGCUCACUCUACCCUGGAAGGGGGUCCCUCUCUGUAUCACUCCUUCCCAAGGUUUCUUCCUUUCUUUUUUUCUCUCUCCUAGAGUUUUUUGUGUGGAGUUUUUCCUUGUGUGCAGAAGGGUCAAGUGUGGGGGGUGUCAACUGUAGGGCC
Denticeps clupeoides (denticle herring) is the source of this 1440-nucleotide long non-coding RNA. NCBI's taxonomy places the organism in Eukaryota, Metazoa, Chordata, Actinopteri, Clupeiformes, Denticipitidae. The record is from Ensembl.